This 709-nucleotide ribosomal RNA is filed under the name uncultured bacterium. RNAcentral describes it as "bacterial SSU rRNA". It matches the Rfam family "Bacterial small subunit ribosomal RNA", at positions 58 to 736 of the family's 1533-position model. The record is from RNAcentral.
CUGGCCCAGCUGAUUGAUGGUGCUUGCACCUGAUUGACGAUGGAUCACCAGUGAGUGGCGGACGGGUGAGUAACACGUAGGUAACCUGCCCCGGAGCGGGGGAUAACAUUUGGAAACAGAUGCUAAUACCGCAUAACAACAAAAGCCACAUGGCUUUUGUUUGAAAGAUGGCUUUGGCUAUCACUCUGGGAUGGACCUGCGGUGCAUUAGCUAGUUGGUAAGGUAACGGCUUACCAAGGCGAUGAUGCAUAGCCGAGUUGAGAGACUGAUCGGCCACAAUGGAACUGAGACACGGUCCAUACUCCUACGGGAGGCAGCAGUAGGGAAUCUUCCACAAUGGGCGCAAGCCUGAUGGAGCAACACCGCGUGAGUGAAGAAGGGUUUCGGCUCGUAAAGCUCUGUUGUUGGAGAAGAACGUGCGUGAGAGUAACUGUUCACGCAGUGACGGUAUCCAACCAGAAAGUCACGGCUAACUACGUGCCAGCAGCCGCGGUAAUACGUAGGUGGCAAGCGUUAUCCGGAUUUAUUGGGCGUAAAGCGAGCGCAGGCGGUUGCUUAGGUCUGAUGUGAAAGCCUUCGGCUUAACCGAAGAAGUGCAUCGGAAACCGGGCGACUUGAGUGCAGAAGAGGACAGUGGAACUCCAUGUGUAGCGGUGGAAUGCGUAGAUAUAUGGAAGAACACCAGUGGCGAAGGCGGCUGUCUGGUCUG